UACGUAGGGUGCAAGCGUUAAUCGGAAUUACUGGGCGUAAAGCGUGCGCAGGCGGUUUUGUAAGACAGAGGUGAAAUCCCCGGGCUCAACCUGGGAACUGCCUUUGUGACUGCAUCGCUGGAGUGCGGCAGAGGGGGAUGGAAUUCCGCGUGUAGCAGUGAAAUGCGUAGAUAUGCGGAGGAACACCGAUGGCGAAGGCAAUCCCCUGGGCCUGCACUGACGCUCAUGCACGAAAGCGUGGGGAGCAAACAGG
This 253-nucleotide ribosomal RNA is filed under the name uncultured bacterium. RNAcentral's name for it is "partial 16S ribosomal RNA". It matches the Rfam family "Bacterial small subunit ribosomal RNA", at positions 524 to 776 of the family's 1533-position model. The record is from RNAcentral.